This 254-nucleotide ribosomal RNA is filed under the name uncultured bacterium. Its description in RNAcentral is "partial 16S ribosomal RNA". It matches the Rfam family "Bacterial small subunit ribosomal RNA", at positions 524 to 776 of the family's 1533-position model. The record is from RNAcentral.
UACGGGGGGGGCAAGCGUUGUUCGGAAUUACUGGGCGUAAAGGGCGCGUAGGCGGCCAGCGCAAGUCAGUUGUGAAAUCUCCGGGCUUAACUCGGAACGGUCAACUGAUACUGCGCGGCUAGAGUGCAGAAGGGGCAACUGGAAUUCUCGGUGUAGCGGUGAAAUGCGUAGAUAUCGAGAGGAACACCUGCGGCGAAGGCGGGUUGCUGGGCUGACACUGACGCUGAUGCGCGAAAGCCAGGGGAGCGAACGGG